Molecule: transfer RNA, 72 nt
Filed under: Dryadobates olfersioides
Lineage: Eukaryota; Metazoa; Chordata; Amphibia; Anura; Aromobatidae
Description: tRNA-Thr
Rfam family: tRNA
About the family: Transfer RNA (tRNA) molecules are approximately 80 nucleotides in length.
Source: RNAcentral
GCCCUAAUAGCUUAAUUCUUAAAGCAUUGGUCUUGUAAGCCAAAGACUGAAGUUUAAACUCUUCUUAGAGCU